Molecule: transfer RNA, 75 nt
Filed under: Trypanosoma equiperdum
Lineage: Eukaryota; Euglenozoa; Kinetoplastea; Trypanosomatida; Trypanosomatidae
Description: His transfer RNA (gtg)
Source: RNAcentral
GCACAGUUGCCCUAGGGCGUCUAUGUGUGCCGCUGUGGGCGGCGUUGUUCCGUCGUUCCAGUCGGCGUUCGUGCU